GUAGGUGGCAAGCGUUGUCCGGAAUUAUUGGGCGUAAAGCGCGCGCAGGCGGUUCUUUAAGUCUGAUGUGAAAGCCCACGGGCUCAACCGUGAGGGUCAUUGGAAACUGGAGAACUUGAGUACAGAAGAGGAAAGCGGAAUUCCACGUGUAGCGGUGAAAUGCGUAGAGAUGUGGAGGAACACCAGUGGCGAAGGCGGCUUCCUGGUCUGUAACUGACGCUGAGGCGCGAAAGCGUGGGGAGCAAACAGGAUUAGAUACCCUGGUAGUCCACGCCGUAAACGAUGAGUGCUAAGUGUUAGGGGGUUUCCGCCCCUUAGUGCUGCAGCUAACGCAUUAAGCACUCCGCCUGGGGAGUACGGCCGCAAGGCUG
RNAcentral lists this ribosomal RNA (371 nucleotides) under uncultured organism. RNAcentral describes it as "partial 16S ribosomal RNA". It matches the Rfam family "Bacterial small subunit ribosomal RNA", at positions 527 to 896 of the family's 1533-position model. The record is from RNAcentral.